AAGUGAUUGGCAUUUUUCACACUGCCAUCAUUUUUCCUGGACUUUGGUUUAGCAAUUUACAAAUAUAGUGUCUACAUGAUUGUCCUAAGGCUCGAAUCUUCAUUAACAUUGAGAAGCUAAUGUGCUGGAAUAUAGAAGGAUCUGUACUUGUGCCUUUCUAAACCACAGCAUGACGUUCAGACCCUUUGAUAUCUUAGUAGGAAAAUACUAUUAGAGGGUUUUUUUCCAGUUUACCUGCACAUUUAUGGUCUUACAGGACUAUAGAUUAAUGAUGCUCUGUUGUUGGAUGAUGGAAAUUUAUUUUUGGAUUCUUCUAUGUGCUAAAAAUAUAAUCCAUUACUGACAGCAGUGUUGAGUUUGUGGUUUGAUCAUGAAGUACAAGCUUGAGUGCUUGUGUGAAAUCCUUUUGAGGCUGUUGGGACCUUAAGGAUCUCCACCAAUAUAAAAUUGUAAGAAUUAAAACAGGGAAAAUUGUCAGCAGUUAGACUUUGCAAAACUUCCUUAUUAGAUGCUGCAACAACACAGUAUUCCAGUUAUAAAAGUUUGUAUCACUGGCUAAUUAAUCCUGAACACAUAGAUUAAAUAUAAUAGUUUUAAUUCAAAUACAAAUUCUGAUUUUGAAUUUUGUAAAUUUUGCCAUUCAAAACUAGCAAAGCCAAACACUGCUAAAAUUUUUAAGAAAUUUAAUUCUCUAGGGAAAUAGGAGAAAAGGGCCUACAAUCCAGUGAUCACAUUAAUCAAUAGUGAGAGAGAUCAGGGAGAAUCUCCCUCACUCAGGAGAGAAAAGCUGCUGAGUACGUGCUUUGAACAGGUUUUAACUCAAAUUCUUGAUCUCUGUCAGGUAUUCCAAAGUUCAUGGACUCGUAGAAUAUGGAAGUCUUGGAAGGGACCUCCAAGGACCGUCAAGUCCAGCUCCUGGCCCUGCAGUGUGAUCCAAAGGCACCUACUCCACAGCAGAUUUCACAGAAUUUUCUUCAUUUUCAAAGAACAUCAUAUAUGACUUGGCAUUACUGAAGAGUUUUACUACAUGGUGUUCAUUGGGCUUUUGUGUUGAUGAAGAAAGCAAUAGAGUUGGUAAGAAGGCAAUUUCCAUCUAUUUGCUAUCAAGCUGAACUUGGGAAAGACUGGGAUUCAAGGACAUAAUGGAUAUCAACUUUAUCUAACAUGAAUUAUCCUUCUGCAUAAAAUAUUCAAUGCCAUCAUUCUUUAAGAUAAUAACAGAGUUAGCUUUCCUUGCAGUUUAACAUACAAUGUUUAAGUUGAGGACAUUUGAUCUUAUAUUGCUACUAAAUAUUAACUUUCAAAGUCACACACUUUAAUGUAUGGAAACAAAGGGUCUUACAGUUAUUAAGUGUUGUUUUUACAUAUAUGUCGUAUUUUAUUUACCUGUAACUGUUUAAAAUGCCUUAAUAUUUAAUUUUUCAUGCUAAUUUCUGGUUUGUUGCACAUUGUAAAGUACUUUUAUAAUACCUUUGUUUUGAUUUCUUCUAAAAUCUCAUGUACUUUGAUGGCACAGUAAAGAAAGCAUAAUGUAGCAAUUCAGCGAAGUAUGGCAGAUGUUUUGGCAGAUACAGGAGUGUGAUUAACAAG
RNAcentral lists this long non-coding RNA (1590 nucleotides) under Zonotrichia albicollis (white-throated sparrow). RNAcentral describes it as "lncRNA (ENSZALG00000011976.1)". The record is from RNAcentral. Lineage: Eukaryota; Metazoa; Chordata; Aves; Passeriformes; Passerellidae.